AAGAAUCUGGACUCCAACAUUGACUCCUUGAAGAUAAAGCUCACGGAAGAUGACCUGAAAGAAAUUAGCAGCCAGAUACGUGAAGAAGAUGUGGCCGGUGUAAGGAGUUAUACUUCCUUGGCGCAUACCAACUGGAACCAUGCAGACACACCAAAGAAGUAAAACUACAAAAAACGGUGAUAUGUGAGAAUAAAACAGCCAUGCCAUCUACUGUAUCUGCUAUCGUGCUGAAUGGUGCUGCAUGUACCUUGUGAAUCUUCCGUGCUAAAUAAUGUACUGCAAAUAAGAACAUGUGCACUGUCUCCAGGAAUCAUGUAAACUUCUGUCUGCAUGCAUAAAAAGAAGACCGAGACUGUAAGACGUGAUUUGCCGUGCUCGUCCAUCUUGGAUGAAAAUAUCAGAAACAAUUGAUAAAGACUGAACGUCAUAAAUAUGUGUGAAAGGUUGAACGGAUAGAAUAGCACACCUGAAUUUACAGGUGGGGUAGAUUGUUUAAAGUUGCACGGAUAAAAUGGAGGCUUCUGAAUAUAGGGGUGUGGUAGAAUGGCA
Molecule: long non-coding RNA, 549 nt
Filed under: Triticum aestivum (bread wheat)
Lineage: Eukaryota; Viridiplantae; Streptophyta; Magnoliopsida; Poales; Poaceae
Description: long non-coding RNA (TAES_LNC015849)
Source: RNAcentral